UACAGAGGUGCCAAGCGUUAGGCGGAAUCACUGGGCUUAAAGCGUGUGUAGGCGGACUUCUAAGUACCUUGUGAAAUCCCCCGGCUCAACCGGGGAACGGCUGGGUAUACUGGGAGUCUUGAGCCAGCUAGGGGUCGCCGGAACAAGUGGUGGAGCGGUGAAAUGCGUAGAUAUCACUUGGAACGCCAAUGGUGAAAACAGGCGACUGGGGCUGUGCUGACGCUGAGACACGAAAGCCAGGGGAGCGAACGGG
This 253-nucleotide ribosomal RNA is filed under the name uncultured bacterium. RNAcentral's name for it is "partial 16S ribosomal RNA". It matches the Rfam family "Bacterial small subunit ribosomal RNA", at positions 524 to 776 of the family's 1533-position model. The record is from RNAcentral.